RNAcentral lists this ribosomal RNA (715 nucleotides) under uncultured bacterium. RNAcentral's name for it is "bacterial SSU rRNA". It matches the Rfam family "Bacterial small subunit ribosomal RNA", at positions 66 to 780 of the family's 1533-position model. The record is from RNAcentral.
ACGAGAAUCUGUGGAUCGAGGAUUCGUCCAAGUGAAGCAGAGGACAGUGGCGGACGGGUGAGUAACGCGUGAGGAACCUGCCUUUCAGAGGGGGACAACAGUUGGAAACGACUGCUAAUACCGCAUGAUACAUUUGGGUGGCAUCAUCUGAAUGUCAAAGAUUUAUCGCUGAAAGAUGGCCUCGCGUCUGAUUAGCUAGUUGGUGAGGUAACGGCCCACCAAGGCGACGAUCAGUAGCCGGACUGAGAGGUUGACCGGCCACAUUGGGACUGAGAUACGGCCCAGACUCCUACGGGAGGCAGCAGUGGGGAAUAUUGGGCAAUGGGCGCAAGCCUGACCCAGCAACGCCGCGUGAAGGAAGAAGGCUUUCGGGUUGUAAACUUCUUUUAAUGGGGAAGAGCAGAAGACUGUACCCAUAGAAUAAGCCACGGCUAACUACGUGCCAGCAGCCGCGGUAAUACGUAGGUGGCAAGCGUUGUCCGGAUUUACUGGGUGUAAAGGGCGUGCAGCCGGGAAUGCAAGUCAGAUGUGAAAUCCAUGGGCUUAACCCAUGAACUGCAUUUGAAACUGUAUUUCUUGAGUACUGGAGAGGCAAUCGGAAUUCCUAGUGUAGCGGUGAAAUGCGUAGAUAUUAGGAGGAACACCAGUGGCGAAGGCGGAUUGCCGGACAGCAACUGACGGUGAGGCGCGAAAGUGUGGGGAGCAAACAGGAUUA